GAGAAAUGAUUGGGUCAUGAGAGUCUUAACCCAAUCAGGGAACUAAUCCCCUGAUAGGGAUUAACUGAGUGGUAACUGAAGGUGGGUAGGGUGUGGCUGGAGGAGGUGGGAUUGGGGUUGUGGCUUUGGGGUAUAUAUUUUGUAUCUGGCGAGUGGAGUCUCUCUGCUGUCUGAUCAUCAUGUGAGCUGGUUCCCUCUGCCACAUUCUUCCGCCAUGAUGUUCUGCUUCACCUUGAACUCUAAGGAAUAGA
This 251-nucleotide long non-coding RNA is filed under the name Marmota monax (woodchuck). The record is from RNAcentral. Lineage: Eukaryota; Metazoa; Chordata; Mammalia; Rodentia; Sciuridae.